UACAUUUCAUCUCCCGCCUCUCCUCCUCUUCUUCUCUGGUUACUGCUUUUGCCUCAAACAUUUUCUUAUUUUCCCGAUGCUCUCUCCUUCUCCUUCCCUUCCUCUCUCUGGUUUCUCUGCUCCUUCCCCUCUCUGGUUCUCUGGCUGCGAAAUUCAACAUUCACAGCACACACCGCACGACUAGCCGCGCCCGAUGCUGUUCCCCACCGUUGCGUCGCCGCUACCGUUCCCCCACCGCCGUGUCGCCGCUGCUGUUCCCCUACCACCAAAUUUGUCCUCUUCCUGUCGCCGCCGAGGCACACACGUGUAGCUCCUCCUCAUCGCUUAUAGCUUCAUCUAGAUAGAUUGUAGGCAAGAAUGUGGGCGGAGAUGGGACUAGUAAGAGGUUAUACUAAGCCUUAAGGCUAGCAGCCUAACUUUUCGGAGCCUGUGGUUCUCUCUGCGUUCACAUGCUCCAUGACGUAUGCAAUUGGACAGGAAGAACAUUCACACUGCCGGUUCAAAGUAUUCAAGCAGACUAGUUCACCCGGUUUUCAAUAAUCCAAGGGAGCGGCCUUUCACCUUUGAGGAGAUGAAGUUCGAGAAAUGCUGGCAAACUUCAUUACCAGUGAUUGUCUUUGAUAUUUUCUUGUAAUGAAUGUUAAAUAUGGAUGCUAGUUUUUCAUAUGAUUGUAAUGUAAUCGACUUUUAUAUUUACAAUUAUAUACUAUUUAAUUUAAUUAUCUAUAUAAUUGGAUACUUUUUAUGUGACU
This is a long non-coding RNA of Spinacia oleracea (spinach), 752 nucleotides long. RefSeq lists it as uncharacterized. The record is from RefSeq and is a predicted model, not a curated record. The transcript has 4 exons. Lineage: Eukaryota; Viridiplantae; Streptophyta; Magnoliopsida; Caryophyllales; Amaranthaceae.